ACACGUUAAUUAAAUAUUGUAAUAAAUGAGUUAUAAUAUUUGAUAACAGCACUUAUCUUUUAGCCAUUUGUUAUAUUUUUACAAUUUUUGUUUAGAUAAUUUGCUAGGGGAAUUUCUCUAAAAUUUUUCGGACAAAAUCCUUAAACAAGAAAGAGGAGGUUUGGCGUUCGACUUACCAAAAAUUCCAACCACUCCACCCCAAAUAUCUCCCGUAGAGUAACAGGAAAAGUACCUUCAAGAUGCCUUGGGGGUUGUCAAAACUCAAGCAUUUCAUAUGAAAAGAGCUCUCGAUAAAAACAAACUCAUGGAUGCAUUGAAGAACGCUAGUGCUAUGCUUGCCGAACUGGGGACGUCUUUAUUAUCACCCAAGAGCUAUUACGAGCUUUACAUGGCCAUCACAGAUGAGUUGCGUCACUUGGAACUCUAUCUUUUAGAUGAGUUUCAGACACGAUGUAGUUAAAAUGGUGGUUCGACCACAGAUUUGAGAUUAGUUGCUUGCUAAGCUAAUCUGUGGUUCGACUCUGCCUUUUUACGAAUGAAAUUUUUCAACUCGCAUUGCGAACGUUGUCAUGGUGAUUGUGAUAUACCUAUGAUCUACUUCGCGUGUAAUAAAUAAAAAUAACACGAACGGAACCACUAAACAAAUGCUCGAGAGCAGUCAAACUUCAAUUGUAACGAUUAUAACUUGAACUUUCAUUGAAAAUGUUAAAUUCAAAAACUCAUUAGAUACCUACGUUACCGACAUGGCUGACAAUUUACACAAUUUAAAAAAAUUACACUAGAAAUUGUUUAGACGGAACACCCUGCCUGUAUACUGUUUGUUAUUCAGUAUGUAAAUAAAUAAGUAAACAUAAAUAU
Molecule: long non-coding RNA, 858 nt
Organism: Tribolium madens (black flour beetle)
Lineage: Eukaryota; Metazoa; Arthropoda; Insecta; Coleoptera; Tenebrionidae
Exons: 3
Source: RefSeq, a predicted model, not a curated record